GCACCCAUAGCUCAGCUGGAUAGAGCGUUGCCCUCCGAAGGCAAAGGUCAGAGGUUCGAAUCCUCUUGGGUGCGCCA
This 77-nucleotide transfer RNA is filed under the name Hyphomicrobium sp. RNAcentral describes it as "tRNA-Arg". It matches the Rfam family "tRNA". From Rfam's summary of the family: Transfer RNA (tRNA) molecules are approximately 80 nucleotides in length. Their secondary structure includes four short double-helical elements and three loops (D, anti-codon, and T loops). The record is from RNAcentral. Lineage: Bacteria; Pseudomonadati; Pseudomonadota; Alphaproteobacteria; Hyphomicrobiales; Hyphomicrobiaceae. RNAcentral also lists the same sequence under 20 other names.